UACGGAGGAUGCGAGCGUUAUCCGGAUUUAUUGGGUUUAAAGGGUGCGCAGGCGGCACGGCAAGCCGGCGGUCAAAUCGCGGGGCUCAACCCCGCCCAGCCGUCGGAACUGCCGGGCUAGAGUGGGCGAGAAAUGCGCGGAAUGCGUGGUGUAGCGGUGAAAUGCAUAGAUAUCACGCAGAACUCCGAUUGCGAAGGCAGCGCACCGGCGCCCUACUGACGCUCAGGCACGAAAGCGUGGGUAUCGAACAGG
RNAcentral lists this ribosomal RNA (252 nucleotides) under uncultured bacterium. Its description in RNAcentral is "partial 16S ribosomal RNA". It matches the Rfam family "Bacterial small subunit ribosomal RNA", at positions 524 to 776 of the family's 1533-position model. The record is from RNAcentral.